RNAcentral lists this ribosomal RNA (813 nucleotides) under Escherichia coli. RNAcentral's name for it is "partial 23S ribosomal RNA". It matches the Rfam family "Bacterial large subunit ribosomal RNA", at positions 745 to 1559 of the family's 2925-position model. The record is from RNAcentral. Lineage: Bacteria; Pseudomonadati; Pseudomonadota; Gammaproteobacteria; Enterobacterales; Enterobacteriaceae.
UUGAAGGUUGGGUAACACUAACUGGAGGACCGAACCGACUAAUGUUGAAAAAUUAGCGGAUGACUUGUGGCUGGGGGUGAAAGGCCAAUCAAACCGGGAGAUAGCUGGUUCUCCCCGAAAGCUAUUUAGGUAGCGCCUCGUGAAUUCAUCUCCGGGGGUAGAGCACUGUUUCGGCAAGGGGGUCAUCCCGACUUACCAACCCGAUGCAAACUGCGAAUACCGGAGAAUGUUAUCACGGGAGACACACGGCGGGUGCUAACGUCCGUCGUGAAGAGGGAAACAACCCAGACCGCCAGCUAAGGUCCCAAAGUCAUGGUUAAGUGGGAAACGAUGUGGGAAGGCCCAGACAGCCAGGAUGUUGGCUUAGAAGCAGCCAUCAUUUAAAGAAAGCGUAAUAGCUCACUGGUCGAGUCGGCCUGCGCGGAAGAUGUAACGGGGCUAAACCAUGCACCGAAGCUGCGGCAGCGACACUAUGUGUUGUUGGGUAGGGGAGCGUUCUGUAAGCCUGUGAAGGUGGCCUGUGAGGGUUGCUGGAGGUAUCAGAAGUGCGAAUGCUGACAUAAGUAACGAUAAAGCGGGUGAAAAGCCCGCUCGCCGGAAGACCAAGGGUUCCUGUCCAACGUUAAUCGGGGCAGGGUGAGUCGACCCCUAAGGCGAGGCCGAAAGGCGUAGUCGAUGGGAAACAGGUUAAUAUUCCUGUACUUGGUGUUACUGCGAAGGGGGGACGGAGAAGGCUAUGUUGGCCGGGCGACGGUUGUCCCGGUUUAAGCGUGUAGGCUGGUUUUCCAGGCAAAUCCGGAAAACCAAGGCUGA